AGUACCCACGUGGCCACCCCCAUCAGACACAAAAGACACCUGUUGCCAGGGCAGUUAGUAACCAGGAGAGCGACUACAGCUGGCAAAUGCCUGGGCUGGACUCCCAUCUGCUGUGUUCUUUCCCCCACCUCCUGGACUUUAGCCCCAAUCUGAAGACACAAAGGGGAUGUAUUUGAAGCAGGGAACGUUAAGUCUUAAACUUCAUGGCCUUAACAACGAAAAGAAGCCUCCCAAUUCCCGGGAUCAUCAGUAAGUGCCACCACAUCAUGGAUUGACAGAACUCGUUUACAGAUCAUCAAGCACUCUGCCAUGUCUAUCAGGAACGGAGGGCAGAAUCCGAUGAGCAGGCAGCAAGGAAUUGAAGCCCCAAUUCAGCUGAACUCUUCCAAUAACCAUAUGACCUUGAAAUGUUUAGUGUCACCCUGCCAAGGAGGAAGAUGGGAUCUGGAGAAGAACCUGGCUCUUGAGUGACUUGUGUAUCUGAUGGACCAAGCUGAAAAGAACAUUCUCUCCUUGGAAGGAAG
Long non-coding RNA from Microtus oregoni (creeping vole), 524 nucleotides. RefSeq lists it as uncharacterized. The record is from RefSeq and is a predicted model, not a curated record. NCBI's taxonomy places the organism in Eukaryota, Metazoa, Chordata, Mammalia, Rodentia, Cricetidae. The transcript has 3 exons.